This 1415-nucleotide ribosomal RNA is filed under the name Salmonella enterica. RNAcentral describes it as "bacterial SSU rRNA". It matches the Rfam family "Bacterial small subunit ribosomal RNA". The record is from RNAcentral. Lineage: Bacteria; Pseudomonadati; Pseudomonadota; Gammaproteobacteria; Enterobacterales; Enterobacteriaceae.
GUAAUGUCUGGGAAACUGCCUGAUGGAGGGGGAUAACUACUGGAAACGGUGGCUAAUACCGCAUAACGUCGCAAGACCAAAGAGGGGGACCUUCGGGCCUCUUGCCAUCAGAUGUGCCCAGAUGGGAUUAGCUAGUUGGUGAGGUAACGGCUCACCAAGGCGACGAUCCCUAGCUGGUCUGAGAGGAUGACCAGCCACACUGGAACUGAGACACGGUCCAGACUCCUACGGGAGGCAGCAGUGGGGAAUAUUGCACAAUGGGCGCAAGCCUGAUGCAGCCAUGCCGCGUGUAUGAAGAAGGCCUUCGGGUUGUAAAGUACUUUCAGCGGGGAGGAAGGUGUUGUGGUUAAUAACCACAGCAAUUGACGUUACCCGCAGAAGAAGCACCGGCUAACUCCGUGCCAGCAGCCGCGGUAAUACGGAGGGUGCAAGCGUUAAUCGGAAUUACUGGGCGUAAAGCGCACGCAGGCGGUCUGUCAAGUCGGAUGUGAAAUCCCCGGGCUCAACCUGGGAACUGCAUUCGAAACUGGCAGGCUUGAGUCUUGUAGAGGGGGGUAGAAUUCCAGGUGUAGCGGUGAAAUGCGUAGAGAUCUGGAGGAAUACCGGUGGCGAAGGCGGCCCCCUGGACAAAGACUGACGCUCAGGUGCGAAAGCGUGGGGAGCAAACAGGAUUAGAUACCCUGGUAGUCCACGCCGUAAACGAUGUCUACUUGGAGGUUGUGCCCUUGAGGCGUGGCUUCCGGAGCUAACGCGUUAAGUAGACCGCCUGGGGAGUACGGCCGCAAGGUUAAAACUCAAAUGAAUUGACGGGGGCCCGCACAAGCGGUGGAGCAUGUGGUUUAAUUCGAUGCAACGCGAAGAACCUUACCUGGUCUUGACAUCCACAGAAGAAUCCAGAGAUGGAUUUGUGCCUUCGGGAACUGUGAGACAGGUGCUGCAUGGCUGUCGUCAGCUCGUGUUGUGAAAUGUUGGGUUAAGUCCCGCAACGAGCGCAACCCUUAUCCUUUGUUGCCAGCGGUCCGGCCGGGAACUCAAAGGAGACUGCCAGUGAUAAACUGGAGGAAGGUGGGGAUGACGUCAAGUCAUCAUGGCCCUUACGACCAGGGCUACACACGUGCUACAAUGGCGCAUACAAAGAGAAGCGACCUCGCGAGAGCAAGCGGACCUCAUAAAGUGCGUCGUAGUCCGGAUUGGAGUCUGCAACUCGACUCCAUGAAGUCGGAAUCGCUAGUAAUCGUGGAUCAGAAUGCCACGGUGAAUACGUUCCCGGGCCUUGUACACACCGCCCGUCACACCAUGGGAGUGGGUUGCAAAAGAAGUAGGUAGCUUAACCUUCGGGAGGGCGCUUACCACUUUGUGAUUCAUGACUGGGGUGAAGUCGUAACAAGGUAACCGUAGGGGAACCUGCGGUUGGA